Chlorocebus sabaeus (green monkey) is the source of this 135-nucleotide ribosomal RNA. Lineage: Eukaryota; Metazoa; Chordata; Mammalia; Primates; Cercopithecidae. The record is from Rfam.
GUCUGUGGCCAUACUACCCGGAAUGCCCCAGAUCCUGUCUGAUCUCAGAAGUUAAGUAGGGUCGGGCCUGGUUAGUACUUGGAUGGGAAAGGAGAGAGUCUGUACACACCUGGGAAGGAAAGGUUAAUUCAGGUG